Molecule: ribosomal RNA, 513 nt
Filed under: uncultured bacterium
Lineage: Bacteria
Description: partial 16S ribosomal RNA
Rfam family: Bacterial small subunit ribosomal RNA
Source: RNAcentral
GACGAACGCUGGCGGCGUGCCUAAUACAUGCAAGUAGAACGCUGAAGAAAGGAGCUUGCUUCUUUUGGAUGAGUUGCGAACGGGUGAGUAACGCGUAGGUAACCUGCCUUGUAGCGGAGGAUAACUAUUGGAAACGAUAGCUAAUACCGCAUAACAGCUUUUGACACAUGUUAGAAGCUUGAAAGAUGCAAUUGCAUCACUACGAGAUGGACCUGCGUUGUAUUAGCUAGUAGGUAGGGUAACGGCCUACCUAGGCGACGAUACAUAGCCGACCUGAGAGGGUGAUCGGCCACACUGGGACUGAGACACGGCCCAGACUCCUACGGGAGGCAGCAGUAGGGAAUCUUCAGCAAUGGGGGCAACCCUGACCGAGCAACGCCGCGUGAGUGAAGAAGGUUUUCGGAUCGUAAAGCUCUGUUGUAAGAGAAGAACGUGUGUGAGAGUGGAAAGUUCACACAGUGACGGUAACUUACCAGAAAGGGACGGCUAACUACGUGCCAGCCGCCGCGGUAA